CACGUAGGGUGCGAGCGUUGUCCGGAAUUAUUGGGCGUAAAGAGCUCGUAGGCGGUGUGUCGCGUCGGCCGUGAAAACCUGCAGCUUAACUGUGGGCUUGCGGUCGAUACGGGCAUCACUGGAGUUCGGCAGGGGAGACUGGAAUUCCUGGUGUAGCGGUGAAAUGCGUAGAUAUCAGGAGGAAUACCGGUGGCGAAAGCGACUCUCUGGACGGUUACUGACGCUGAGGCACGAAAGCGUGGGGAGCAAACAGG
RNAcentral lists this ribosomal RNA (254 nucleotides) under uncultured bacterium. RNAcentral's name for it is "partial 16S ribosomal RNA". It matches the Rfam family "Bacterial small subunit ribosomal RNA", at positions 524 to 776 of the family's 1533-position model. The record is from RNAcentral.